UUUAUGGAGAGUUUGAUCCUGGCUCAGGACGAACGCUGGCGGCGUGCCUAAUACAUGCAAGUCGAGCGGACUUGAAGAAGUGCUUGCACUUCUGAUAGUUAGCGGCGGACGGGUGAGUAACACG
This 124-nucleotide ribosomal RNA is filed under the name Paenibacillus paeoniae. Its description in RNAcentral is "Bacterial small subunit ribosomal RNA". It matches the Rfam family "Bacterial small subunit ribosomal RNA", at positions 1 to 117 of the family's 1533-position model. Lineage: Bacteria; Bacillati; Bacillota; Bacilli; Caryophanales; Paenibacillaceae. The record is from Rfam by way of RNAcentral.